This 494-nucleotide ribosomal RNA is filed under the name uncultured bacterium. RNAcentral describes it as "partial 16S ribosomal RNA". It matches the Rfam family "Bacterial small subunit ribosomal RNA", at positions 28 to 507 of the family's 1533-position model. The record is from RNAcentral.
GACGAACGCUGGCGGCGUGCUUAACACAUGCAAGUCGAACGGUGAAGCGCCUUCCUUUUUGGUGGGUGUGGAUGAGUGGCGAACGGGUGAGUAACACGUGAGUAACCUGCCCCCUUCUUCUGGAUAACCGCAUGAAAGUGUGGCUAAUACGGGAUAUUCUGGGUCUGUCGCAUGAUGGGUCUGGGAAAGAUAUUGUUUCGGUGGGGGAUGGGCUCGCGGCCUAUCAGCUUGUUGGUGGGGUGAUGGCCUACCAAGGCGGUGACGGGUAGCCGGCCUGAGAGGGUGGACGGUCACACUGGGACUGAGACACGGCCCAGACUGCUACGGGAGGCAGCAGUGGGGAAUAUUGCACAAUGGGCGCAAGCCUGAUGCAGCGACGCCGCGUGAGGGAUGGAGGCCUGCGGGUUGUGAACCUCUUUCGCCAGUGAAGCAGGCCUGCCUCGUUUGUGGGUGGGUUGACGGUAGCUGGAUAAGAAGCGCCGGCUAACUACGUG